AAGGAUUUAAGUUAAAAAAACUCACAACCUUCAAAGUUGUAAAUAAAGUACAGAGCUCUUUAAGCCUUA
This 69-nucleotide transfer RNA is filed under the name Nebrioporus depressus. RNAcentral describes it as "tRNA-Trp". The record is from RNAcentral. Lineage: Eukaryota; Metazoa; Arthropoda; Insecta; Coleoptera; Dytiscidae.